Molecule: transfer RNA, 69 nt
Filed under: Ictidomys tridecemlineatus (thirteen-lined ground squirrel)
Lineage: Eukaryota; Metazoa; Chordata; Mammalia; Rodentia; Sciuridae
Description: Spermophilus tridecemlineatus (thirteen-lined ground squirrel) tRNA
Rfam family: tRNA
About the family: Transfer RNA (tRNA) molecules are approximately 80 nucleotides in length. Their secondary structure includes four short double-helical elements and three loops (D, anti-codon, and T loops).
Source: Rfam by way of RNAcentral
GGGGCUGUAGCUCAGCGGCAGAGCACUUGCCUCCCAUGCAUGAUGCACUGGGUUCGAUUCUCAGCACCA